This 499-nucleotide ribosomal RNA is filed under the name Heyndrickxia oleronia. RNAcentral describes it as "bacterial SSU rRNA". It matches the Rfam family "Bacterial small subunit ribosomal RNA", at positions 27 to 506 of the family's 1533-position model. The record is from RNAcentral. Lineage: Bacteria; Bacillati; Bacillota; Bacilli; Caryophanales; Bacillaceae.
GGACGAACGCUGGCGGCGUGCCUAAUACAUGCAAGUCGAGCGAAUCUGAUGGGAGCUUGCUCCCUGAWGAUUAGCGGCGGACGGGUGAGUAACACGUGGGUAACCUGCCUGUAAGACUGGGAUAACUCCGGGAAACCGGGGCUAAUACCGGAUAACUUUUUUCUUCGCAUGAGGGAGAAUUGAAAGAUGGCYUCGGCUAUCACUUACAGAUGGACCCGCGGCGCAUUAGCUAGUUGGUGAGGUAACGGCUCACCAAGGCGACGAUGCGUAGCCGACUUGAGAGGGUGAUCGGCCACACUGGGACUGAGACACGGCCCAGACUCCUACGGGAGGCAGCAGUAGGGAAUCUUCCGCAAUGGACGAAAGUCUGACGGAGCAACGCCGCGUGAGUGAUGAAGGUUUUCGGAUCGUAAAACUCUGUUGUUAGGGAAGAACAAGUAUCGUUCGAAUAGGGCGGUACCUUGACGGUACCUAACCAGAAAGCCACGGCUAACUACGU